Anguilla rostrata (American eel) is the source of this 729-nucleotide long non-coding RNA. RefSeq lists it as uncharacterized. The transcript is spliced from 2 exons. NCBI's taxonomy places the organism in Eukaryota, Metazoa, Chordata, Actinopteri, Anguilliformes, Anguillidae. The record is from RefSeq and is a predicted model, not a curated record.
ACUAAUCCAAGGCUGCCCAAUCCUGUUCCUGGAUGUCUACCAUUCUGUAGGUAUUCACUUAAACCCUAAAUUGGCACACCUGAUUCUAUUAAUUAGCAGCUCAGUGAGCUGCCAAUGAGGCGUACUUUGUUAGGAUCGGAGUGAAAACUUACACGAGAGGAAGGUAGAUCUCCAGAAACAGGAUUGGGCAGGCCUGCUGUAAUGCAAUGCAAACAGGAGCCACAGACAAAAAGUUAAACCAAGAAAAUGCCAUAUGGAUUCUAACUUGACAUUGUAAAAACUUGUUCCCGGACUACGUCACUUCAACGUUGCUGAUAUGUAUCUGGCAGAGGACAACUACAGGAAGGCCAGGAAAAGACUAUACAGCCUUCACUUACACAGAUCUGCAACUGGGGUCUUCCACCACAUUCAGCUCAUUCGUCAUGAACUGCCGAUCCAGAGGACGACUACUGGGAGGAUGCUGCAGGACCUCUGGCUUUCCCCGCCCUGGAUUCCUUUGGCUGGAGGCCUCACACCAGUCCAGCCUCCCUGCACAUUCUGUAGAAAUGGCCACGCUGCGUGAUGAGAUUGGACGGGGAGUCCAUCUCUGCGAUGUGUCCUUUGUCCAUUACAAUAACUCUGUAAGCGAUAAAAAUGAGUCAGCUUUUUCAUAAUGGCAGGAAUUAACAUCUUGUAUGCCACUUUCCCAUCUUUCACUGAUAUUAAAGCCCAGUUUUAGCAACUCCAAAA